RNAcentral lists this transfer RNA (74 nucleotides) under Pseudomonadota bacterium. Its description in RNAcentral is "tRNA-Glu". It matches the Rfam family "tRNA". Rfam says of the family: Transfer RNA (tRNA) molecules are approximately 80 nucleotides in length. Their secondary structure includes four short double-helical elements and three loops (D, anti-codon, and T loops). Lineage: Bacteria; Pseudomonadati; Pseudomonadota. The record is from RNAcentral. RNAcentral also lists the same sequence under 2 other names.
GGCCCAUUCGUCUAGUGGACCAGGACGCCGCCCUCUCAAGGCGGAGAUCGCGGGUUCGAACCCCGCAUGGGCCA